Sycon ciliatum is the source of this 2959-nucleotide RNA transcript. RefSeq lists it as uncharacterized. The transcript has 8 exons. Lineage: Eukaryota; Metazoa; Porifera; Calcarea; Leucosolenida; Sycettidae. The record is from RefSeq and is a predicted model, not a curated record.
AUGAAUAUUAUUGAACUUUGAAGACAGCGUUCCUAACUCGAUAGGUUUGUGGGUGAAGGAAGCGGAAUUUCAAACGGUGAACAUUUUACUGUAGCCACUACUAGCGUAGUGGACCAAGAUGAUUCGCUACAAAGCCAGCACUGCCCUAGUUGGGCGUUGCAGUACGUUUCUGGCUAGAUUCCCUGUGGAUGGUCAGCAACAUUGCGGGUACAACACAGUAGCAGGGUCCAUUGAAUAUCAGGCAAGAAGAGCUUCAAAACGGUUUGUACACAGCCCUCAACUGCAUCCACAACAGCGUUUUCCUGCAGCUCAAUGGCAGCAGAUUCGUAGCAACUGUACGGCGGAAAACGCGUCCGCUACCAGCGCUAGUGCUUCGCCGAUAGCUCUUCCGGACGAUCUGCGGCAGCGAUAUGACGAAGACGGCUAUGUCAUCAUCCCCGACUUGCUCAGCAAACAACAGGUAACGAGCCUGAUGGAUGAAAUGGAAGCAAUAUGUCGCGGGCUGAGAGGAGACAUUCCCGGUGUACAGGUUACUAAUGACAGUAUGUCACGUACGGAGGUGCUGAAGAAAUACUUGUGCAUUCACUUUCCGCACAAGAUUUCCACAGUUAUCCGUGAUCUGACCAGGGAGAGCAACACGGUAGCGGUGCUGCAGAAGCUGCUGGGACCCAACAUCAAGUGCAUGCAGACAAUGAUGUUCAUGAAAGCGUCCGGCAAGCCUGGCCAAGCCUGCCACCAGGAUGAGUUCUACAUUCCCACAAGAGACCGGUCUUUGUGCGCCUCCUGGAUUGCACUGGACAAUGUGACGAUAGAGAACGGCUGUGUGUGGGUAAUCCCGGGCUCGCAUCGACCUGGAAUCAUCUGGCCGGCGAAGCAGCACAAUGACGAGCGCUUUGACUUUGCGGAUGCCAGCUACGGAUACCCGUAUUCCGAGGCGGACUUCAUACCCGUGCAGCUUCCAGCCGGGUCUGCCGUCUUCUUCAACGGGUAUUUGCUUCACCGAUCGCUACCGAAUAAGUCGCACGGUUUUCGCAGAGCCUUUGCCAACCACUACAUGAGGGCAGAAUCCUUUUUGCCGUGGACGAAUGAUGGGCGCUUUGACAUCAAGGAUGACAUGAGGGACUUCCUGCUGGUGUCAGGCAUUGAUCCCUAUGCGGACUUCAAGCCCAUGCAGAGUUUCACGAAGCCGUUUCUGCGUGGCGAGACUGCUGCAGCCGCUUAGAAGGAAGGUGGUUGUGUGCCAGUACUGUACUAGUGCGGACGCCUCGGUGUCACUUUGGGCAGAACGCAGAGCCGGUUUACUUACUGACCUAUACUGCAUGCGCGUGUUGCAUGGGACAGCUUGUAUUUCAGUGCGCUCCCGUUGCUUGCCGUUGCAUACCGUGUCACCUUCCUUUACAGCUUUCUCAAAGGUUGUGUGGAGCUCCUGAGUGGUGAGUAAGGGCAUCCUUCCCUUGCUGCUUUCUGCCACAGUGCAUGUGCGUGUACAGGUAUGUGUGUGUGUGUGUGUGUGUGUGUGUGUGUGUGUGUGUGUGUGUGUGUGUGUGUGUGUGUGUGUGUGUGUGACAGUGUGUGUGUGUGUGUGUGUGUGUGUGUGUGUGUGUGUGUGUGUGUGUGUGUGUGUGUGUGGUGUAUGUGUGUGUGUCUGUGUGCGCGCUGGUAGGCUUAGCGAAUCCAAAUCGUGAGAACGUUUUAUGCCCACUGCUCGUGGGCAUAUUGAAUUGAUUACUUGAUUAAUUUUUCAGCCAAUCAUUAUAUUAAUCUACCAAUCCUACCGGUAGUAGGACCAAAAACUCUAAAUCAGCGCAAUGAAUGUGUGCGCUGCACGCAUGUGUAUACAUGUCUGCAAAUAUGUUAGUCAGCAACAGGCAACUUAAUCUCUAAUAAUUACCUGUAUGCCACAGGGAACUUUCACCCACUGCUUUACCGCGUGAAUCCAAACUCAUAUUCAGCGGGUCAUCAGUAUCAAUAUUAUCAAGAGUACAAAACCCCUGGGGCUAUGUGCUCUUGAUAACUAUUGUCAACAUACUCAGAACUCUAUCGAUACUUGGAUUCAUAGACUCCGCCGUAGCAUUGCUGUUGAGGAAGUAAUUCGCGAUCAACCAUCCUGCAUCGUAGAUCUACAUGAUUGUAUUAUGAUCUACAUGAUUGUAUUAUGAGCAAGUCGGGACUCACGGUGUGAGUUCUCGGCAGACAGUAGUCAGUAGGUCUACCACCGUGCGUGUCAAGUCGACGAGUUGCUAGACUGCAAAUCAUCAGCAUGUGUCCUCCGCCAGUCAGUGCACUUUAAUUUAUUAGAGGGCCACACGGGACAGAAGACGGCUCGUUUGCCCGCUCUCACACUACGCUCCCAUCUCGCUCCACAACCGGGAUAGGACGGUAAAGUUAGUUUCCCGCCUCAUCUCCACCCAGGAAUCUUCCUCCUUUUGCCAGCAGUUGUGCUGUGUUGAGGAGCACAUAAUCAUGAUGAUUGCCCGAGAUGUCCCCUUGAAGACAAAAGCUGGCAAGUUAUCAUCAGUCUCUGUGGUCGAUAUUCACUCCUCCUUCACUAUAAUGCUAGUCAGUGACUAUCUCUAUUGUUAUUGUGUCUGGGGUCGAGACUACUAACUCUUGAUUCUACCAAGAAUAUAAUAAUAGCCAUCUCCUACAUGACAGUGUCAUGUACUGGUAUUAGUCCGGCACCCAAUAUACAUUGUAGAUUAGUUAUCAUCAUGGUAUUAUGUAAGCCUUGUUUGGUAGAUCGGUUGACAGUACAGUAUGUUGCAAGAGGUUCGAGUCCUGGUGGGUCUAGCAUUUUUUCCCUUUUUAGACACUUCAACAUCUCCUUCUCUUCUUUCUUUUCACCUCCAAUGUAAACUUGACACCAUCCACACCACGUCUCACUAACUUUAAUGUCACACUAAUAUCACGCUAUGCUACUUUCCUGGGCAUAAGUUUGUAGCCAGAAGAGUACAGAUAA